CUAGUAGGUGGGGUAACGGCUCACCUAGGCGAAGACGGGUAGCCGGCCUGAGAGGGCGAACGGCCACACUGGAACUGAGAUACGGUCCAGACUCCUACGGGAGGCAGCAGUGGGGAAUAUUGGGCAAUGGGGGCAACCCUGACCCAGCGACGCCGCGUGGGUGAAGAAAUCCUUCGGGAUGUAAAGCCCUGUUGUAUGGGAAGAGCAGAUGACGGUACCUGACUAAGAAGCCCCGGCUAACUACGUGCCAGCAGCCGCGGUAAUACGUAGGGGGCAAGCGUUAUCCGGAUUUACUGGGUGUAAAGGGAGCGUAGACGGCGAUGCAAGUCAGAUGUGAAAACCCAUGGCUCAACCAUGGGAUUGCAUUUGAAACUGUGUUGCUAGAGUGCAGGAGAGGUAAGCGGAAUUCCUGGUGUAGCGGUGAAAUGCGUAGAUAUCAGGAGGAACACCGGUGGCGAAGGCGGCUUACUAGACUGUAACUGACGUUGAGGCUCGAAGGCGUGGGUAGCAAACAGGAUUAGAUACCCUGGUAGUCCACGCAGUAAACGAUGAUUACCAGGUGUCGGGAGACAUAGUCUCUCGGUGCCGCAGCAAACGCAGUGAGUAAUCCACCUGGGGAGUACGUUCGCAAGAAUGAAACUCAAAGGAAUUGACGGGGACCCGCACAAGCGGUGGAGCAUGUGGUUUAAUUCGAAGCAACGCGAAGAACCUUACCAAAUCUUGACAUCCUUCUGAAUAGCUGGUAAAGCAGCUAGGCCUUCGGGACAGAAGAGACAGGUGGUGCAUGGUUGUCGUCAGCUCGUGUCGUGAGAUGUUGGGUUAAGUCCCGCAACGAGCGCAACCCUUAUCUUCAGUAGCCAGCAAGUUAAGUUGGGCACUCUGGAGAGACUGCCGGGGAUAACCCGGAGGAAGGCGGGGAUGACGUCAAAUCAUCAUGCCCCUUAUGAUUUGGGCCACACACGUGCUACAAUGGCGUAAACAGAGGGAAGCGAAGGCGCGAGCCGGAGCAAAUCCCAGAAAUAACGUCCCAGUUCGGACUGUAGGCUGCAACCCGCCUACACGAAGCUGGAAUCGCUAGUAAUCGCAGAUCAGAAUGCUGCGGUGAAUACGUUCCCGGGUCUUGUACACACCGCCCGUCACACCAUGGGAGUCAGAAAUGCCCGAAAUCGGUGACAUAACCGUAAGGAAUGAGCCGCUGAAGGCAGGUCGGAUAACUGGGGUGAAGUCGUAACAAGGUAGCCG
RNAcentral lists this ribosomal RNA (1242 nucleotides) under uncultured bacterium. RNAcentral describes it as "bacterial SSU rRNA". It matches the Rfam family "Bacterial small subunit ribosomal RNA", at positions 245 to 1502 of the family's 1533-position model. The record is from RNAcentral.